AAGUCCUGAUUUCAAGCGAGGUUACCCGCUGGAUUUAAGCAUAUUAAUAAGCGGAGGAAAAUAAAAUAACUAUGAUUUCCCUAGUAACGGCGAGUGAAGCGGAAAGAGCUCAAAUUUGAAAUUGGCCGUCAAAAGCCGAAUUGUAGUUUCAAGGAACGGCGGUUGUUCUGCAGACGUGUGCCGGGGUAAUUUUCGCUGGAAAGCGAAGCCUGAGAAGGUGACAGCCCUGUGUCGCCCGGCGCGUUUGCAGAGGGACACUGCUAUUCCAAAGAGUCGUGCUUCUUGGGAGUGAAGCUCUAAAUGCCGGGUAAAUCUCCGGUAAGGCUAAAUAUUCGGUCAAAGACCGAUAGCAAACAAGUACCG
This 363-nucleotide ribosomal RNA is filed under the name Nutomonas howeae. RNAcentral's name for it is "eukaryotic LSU rRNA". It matches the Rfam family "Eukaryotic large subunit ribosomal RNA", at positions 1 to 353 of the family's 3401-position model. The record is from RNAcentral. Lineage: Eukaryota; Ancyromonadida; Planomonadidae.